GAGUUUGAUCAUGGCUCAGAACGAACGCUGGCGGCAGGCUUAACACAUGCAAGUCGAACGCUCGUAGCAAUACGGGAGUGGCGGACGGGUGAGUAACGCGUGGGAACGUGCCCUGAGGUUGGGAAUAACUGCGGGAAACUGCAGCUAAUACCUGAUGAGCCCCUAACGGGGGAAAGAUUUAUCGCCUUGGGAGCGGCCCGCGUCGGAUUAGCUAGUUGGUGGGGUAACGGCCUACCAAGGCUCCGAUCCAUAGCUGGUCUGAGAGGAUGAUCAGCCACACUGGGACUGAGACACGGCCCAGACUCCUACGGGAGGCAGCAGUGGGGAAUAUUGGUCAAUGGGCGCAAGCCUGAACCAGCCAUGCCGCGUGAGUGAUGAAGGCCUUAGGGUUGUAAAGCUCCUUCAGUGGGGAAGAUAAUGACGGUACCCACAGAAGAAGCCCCGGCUAACUUCGUGCCAGCAGCCGCCGUAAG
This 473-nucleotide ribosomal RNA is filed under the name uncultured Alphaproteobacteria bacterium. Its description in RNAcentral is "bacterial SSU rRNA". It matches the Rfam family "Bacterial small subunit ribosomal RNA", at positions 9 to 524 of the family's 1533-position model. Lineage: Bacteria; Pseudomonadati; Pseudomonadota; Alphaproteobacteria. The record is from RNAcentral.